Molecule: ribosomal RNA, 586 nt
Filed under: Conus consors
Lineage: Eukaryota; Metazoa; Mollusca; Gastropoda; Neogastropoda; Conidae
Description: partial 12S ribosomal RNA
Rfam family: Microsporidia small subunit ribosomal RNA
Source: RNAcentral
UGCCAGCAGUCGCGGUUAAACCAAGAAAUUUAGUCAUUCUUUUACGGUAAAAAGACAGUUAGACAAAUAGUUAAAUUAUUGGAUCUUUAGUAAAGGAGUAAAAUCUAAAUACUAGAAGUUAUACCAGAUAUAGUUUAUUUAAGAUGUUGAAUCUGUGACAGCUUUAAGGGAAACUGGGAUUGGAUACCCCAUUAUUUUUAGUUAUAAAUUUAGUUUAAGCUUACCAGAGUACUACGAAUAAAAAGUUUAAAACUCAAAGGGCUUGGCGGUGUUUUAGACCUCUCAGGGGAACCUGUCUCAUAAUCGACAAUCCACGUUAAACCUAACCUUUUGUAGUAAUACAGCUUGUAUACCGUCGUCGUCAGGUAACUUCUUAAAAUAUAGUAGUUAGCUUGAGAAUUUUAUUAAUUAAAACGUCAGAUCAAGGUGCAGCUAAUGAAAAGGUGAGGAUGGGUUACAAUUACAUAUUUGUAAACACGGAAAAAUGCUUGAAACGGAGUAUUUUAAAGGAGGACUUGAAAGUAAUUUUGAUUAUAUAAGUGGAAUGAAUAAGGCUCUGAAACGUGCACACAUCGCCCGUCGCUCU